RNAcentral lists this ribosomal RNA (492 nucleotides) under uncultured bacterium. Its description in RNAcentral is "partial 16S ribosomal RNA". It matches the Rfam family "Bacterial small subunit ribosomal RNA", at positions 29 to 507 of the family's 1533-position model. The record is from RNAcentral.
AGUGAACGCUGGCGGUAGGCCUAACACAUGCAAGUCGAACGGCAGCACAGUAAGAGCUUGCUCUUACGGGUGGCGAGUGGCGGACGGGUGAGGAAUACAUCGGAAUCUGCUUUUUCGUGGGGGAUAACGUAGGGAAACUUACGCUAAUACCGCAUACGACCUACGGGUGAAAGCAGGGGAUCUUCGGACCUUGCGCGAUUGAAUGAGCCGAUGUCGGAUUAGCUAGUUGGCGGGGUAAAGGCCCACCAAGGCGACGAUCCGUAGCUGGUCUGAGAGGAUGAUCAGCUACACUGGAACUGAGACACGGUCCAGACUCCUACGGGAGGCAGCAGUGGGGAAUAUUGGACAAUGGGCGCAAGCCUGAUCCAGCCAUACCGCGUGGGUGAAGAAGGCCUUCGGGUUGUAAAGCCCUUUUGUUGGGAAAGAAAAGCAGCAGGUUAAUACCCCGCUGUUCUGACGGUACCCAAAGAAUAAGCACCGGCUAACUUCGUG